Molecule: long non-coding RNA, 993 nt
Organism: Dromiciops gliroides (monito del monte)
Lineage: Eukaryota; Metazoa; Chordata; Mammalia; Microbiotheria; Microbiotheriidae
Exons: 4
Source: RefSeq, a predicted model, not a curated record
UUCACUUUCUUAACUGCUGAGGGAUCUUCUUGUUGGCCUGGGGAUAGAUGGAAAAUGGAAAGGGGAGGCUUUCAGCUUUUCCCUGGCCGCCGGGAGCUGGACUUUAAUGCCCGCAGCCGGCCGAGCCUCAGGAGGUAGCCAAGCCCUGUGCUAAGUGCUGGAGUUGCAAAGUCUAGAGGGAAGCAGCUCCUGCCAUGAAGGGACUUACAUUUUAAAGUGAAAACAACCUGUGUAUAUGUAUAAAAAAAAAAAAAAGAAUGAAGAGGUCCUAAGACACUGUGCUAAAUACUGAGUAUACAACAGAAGACAAAACAUGAUCCCUGCCAUCAGGGAGCUUACAUUCUAAUGUGGGAGACACCAUGUAGCAGGAAGAAGCUCAAGAAUUGACAUGGGAACAGAGGCAUAAGUACCAGCCCCACGCACAUACCUGGAGGCCCUCAGGAAGCUCCACCAUAUGGGCACCCCCAAGCCAUUUCAUGAUGUGUGUAACACUAGUGCUAGAAAAGAGAGAAAAUGUAUACACAUUAGAUUUGCGCAUACAAAUAGAAGAAACAUGUAAGUGGCCAGCAAUGCACUGUUGUUUGCUCACAAGUGGAAGACUCACAGUAUGAUGGGAAAACUCAAGCAAAAUAUAGUAUCAUAGAAGAAGACAACAAUGUGAAAACAGCUACAAACAAAGCCUCAAAGAAAAAAUGCUCAUCAGACACAAGCCCAGUAAGAAUUCCUGGAAGAGUUAAAGAGCUGAGCGUGUUGGGGAAUGAAAAUUAUGAAAAGGGAAUUAACAGGUUGGUUAAAAAAAAGAAAGCACAGAAAAUUCUGAAGAAAAUAACACUUUAAAAAGCAGAAUUAGCAUAAGUAAGAUAAACACAAGAAUUCCUUGAAGAAAAGAAGUUCUUAAAAAAUAGAAAAGGCCAAAUGGAAAAGGAGAUACAAAAAUUCACUGAAGAAAAGAAUUCCUUAAAAAUUAGAAUUGGGCAAGUAGAAGCUAAUGAC